This 588-nucleotide long non-coding RNA is filed under the name Helianthus annuus (common sunflower). Its description in RNAcentral is "hypothetical non coding rna". The record is from RNAcentral. Lineage: Eukaryota; Viridiplantae; Streptophyta; Magnoliopsida; Asterales; Asteraceae.
UAAAUAAACAAAUCAUUAUUACUAAAAAGCCAUGGAUACAAAUUGUUAUAGCCCUUCACAUGAGCUAAAAGGCACAUGCUUUCUCUAGAAUGCUUCUUAUUGGUGGAACCAAUGCUCAAAUAUUGCUAUCCAACUUAAAUAUUGUUUAAACUGAAGAAUCAAAAAAAGUAAAAUCACACAUGCAAAUAUGCAGAACCAGCAUGACUGCUGAUUGCGAAGGUUUGAGGAUGGCGAUUUGGUCAUUCGUCAUCAUCACCCAGUAAUGCAAACGAGUAGGGCGCGAAUUUGUACCCGUCUCCUUCAUAGAACUUGUUUUGGAACUCCACCCAGUGGAGCCUUAACGCAUGUAAAAACGCACUUAAGGUUUCCAUCACUAGCAAUACUCCAACCGUCGCAAAUAUGAACACAAUUAUGCCCACACCAAGAAUAAUCCAAUUAUUGUAUGAAGCUGUAUUCGACACUGCUCCAAGUACAAACUCUAUUGUAUGAAUGAGUUGAUGAACAAAUACUUCGCUGAACUCAAAUUCUUCAUGAUCAUGUGAAUCAUGACCUGCCUCCACCUGCAAAGAGUCUUCCGUCCCUUCAAGG